This 254-nucleotide ribosomal RNA is filed under the name uncultured bacterium. Its description in RNAcentral is "partial 16S ribosomal RNA". It matches the Rfam family "Bacterial small subunit ribosomal RNA", at positions 524 to 776 of the family's 1533-position model. The record is from RNAcentral.
UACGGGGGGAGCAAGCGUUGUUCGGAUUUACUGGGCGUAAAGGGCGCGUAGGCGGCCACCGCAAGUCGGUUGUGAAAUCUCUGGGCUUAACCCAGAAAGGUCAACCGAUACUGCGGGGCUAGAGUGCAGAAGGGGCAACUGGAAUUCUCGGUGUAGCGGUGAAAUGCGUAGAUAUCGAGAGGAACACCUGCGGCGAAGGCGGGUUGCUGGGCUGACACUGACGCUGAAGCGCGAAAGCCAGGGGAGCAAACGGG